This is a long non-coding RNA of Homo sapiens (human), 1607 nucleotides long. Ensembl annotates it as long intergenic non-protein coding RNA 2631. The record is from Ensembl. NCBI's taxonomy places the organism in Eukaryota, Metazoa, Chordata, Mammalia, Primates, Hominidae.
GGUGAUGCUGCUGCUUCUAGCCUGGCAUCAUACUGGUUUUCCUCUGCAGUUGAGAAGAGUCAUGUGCAAGCUCGUGGCAGCAGCAAGUCCUCCUAAUAUGUCCCUGGUAUCAAACUAACUCAUUAGACUGUGGUAGCUGUGGUUGACUCCUGGUUUCUCCCAACUCCACCCUUUUGGCAGGCAGCAACCCUGGCCAGCAGCUGCUCAUGGUCUAGGAAGGACAGCUGUCUUAACACCCAUUCAUCUGUAGAGAGCAGCCUUUUGGAUCAGCGGAUGGCUCCACCAGAUGCUCAGCUUGUUUUCAGUUCUGGAGUCUGAAAUCCCCAGUGCCAUCUACCUGGCAUCAGUCUCAGGUGCAGCAUUUUCAUAAGGACCCUGAUGUCAGCAGCUGCUUGUGGUGAAACAUCUCACAGUGGAAGAGGAGCAUUCUGUGUUGAGAAUUUCCAUUGACGAAGCCAACUGAGUGGCCUGAUUCCCUUGGACCAGCAAUCUAGAGCUAGGGAAGAUGUUGCCCCAAGGAAGAGGCACAGCAGACACUUGGCUCUCCUCUUGGGUUUCUGCUUUCUCUGAGAAAACAGAAGUUUGAGGCCUCUAGAAGCACUGCAUUCCCUCCAAAGGGAGGUUGUAGAUACAUUAAUUAAUAUGAUUUUAAUUCAAAACUUCCUGAGGCAGAUAAUUCUAAAUGAUUAUCCCAAAAAUAUUUCCAACACCCUUCUUUUUACCACCCACUGGCCCCCAAAUCCUCAAUUUUCCAGUCUCCCUUGAGCUAAGUGUGGCCCUAUGACUCACUUCCAGCCAUGAAAACAAGUGCAAAUCUGUUAGGAGUAUGUUCUGGGGCAAUUUUUGCUCUCCUGAUGAAGACAAAGGCUGUUGAUCCACUGAACCCACCCAGACACUAUGUGGUUUCUUGAAUGUCCUACGUACAUUUUGAUGGAUUACCCAAGGACUAUCUGAUGAAGAAUAAUAGAGACAUAUAAAUACAUAUGGGCUACAUCUUGGCAAAAUAAAGUAAUCCUGAAGUAAAUUCUAAGGAUGUUCUGAAUUGACACCUCUUAAGCACAACCGAAUGUCCUGGUGGCUUUGCCUCCCACUGGGGCUUUUUGGCUCUUGUUUGGCCCCAGCGGCUGCUGCAGCUCUGUCUGAAUUCACACAGGAGCAACAUGAUGGUGCUCAGCCCUCGCCGAAGUGUCUUGCUGAAGAGUUGGGAGAUGCUUGGACUAUUCAGAUAGAAGCCAGCUGGAAGUACAGGGCAGUCAACACAAACCAGAGAGGCAAACUUUUGGCCAGUGAGACAUGGAAAGGGAGAAGAAAUACAUUCUUCUUUCUCCCCUAGAGUGAGGACCAACCUGAGUCCCAGUCACCUGGAAUCCCCUCAGACGAGCGUCCCUUGAGAUCCAGCACAUGGCAGCCAGCGUGCUGACGAUUCCUUCCUGCCUACUGGCUCCUUCUUAUUUCUGCCUCCGUGGAACUGUAUUCUCUAAUCAAUAUUAGCACAUACAUAUUGCCCCAGACUGUACCUCCUGGGAACCCAGGAUAAAGCACUAUCUAAACAUUUUGUCUUGGAAUUGUAAUAAACUUCAAAAGAAAAAUACAACUUGAAAGUUAAA